CUAAACAAAAAAUUCAAAUUUUGUUGUACAGUAAUUAUUUUUUUUGCUUCAUCGAAAACUGAACAAAAAUUAAAAAUUGGAAGCGAAGCAAAAAAUUGUUUUUCACACUUUUAAAUUAUUUAUGAUGAGCGGAAAAUGCAAUUGCACUUGACUUCAAUUUAGCCAAUAGCCUGCCGCCCAUAGUUGGGUCUGAGCCCUGUGCACUGGGCUCUUUCCCCAUACCGUCCUCCGUUCACCAGCAGUCGCCUGACCUCGCCCAACUUAAAACUACGAUUUGCAUAUUUUGUUGUGGAAAUUUGUUGUUUUCGUUGUCAGCAUUGAAUUGUCGCAUUUUUGCCCCGAGGCUGGGGUUUUGUUACUGGGUCUGGGUGGCUCUGUGGCUGGGAAAUGGGCCUGAAGGAAAAAUUACAUUUUAUUUUGUCGCGACAAAAAAAUAGCAAAAAGAACUGAAAUGUUAUGGAAUUAAUGGGACGAAGCUUCAAAUACACUGAAGGGUACGUAUCAGACCAAAGUACGAGUAAGUGAGCAAACUCUGAAUAUUUCAGCACAAAACUUUGAAUAUUUGUAACUCUAUGAAAUAGAGAACUGAAAGCUUGCAGAACUAUUUGAAAAU
This 613-nucleotide long non-coding RNA is filed under the name Drosophila guanche. Lineage: Eukaryota; Metazoa; Arthropoda; Insecta; Diptera; Drosophilidae. The record is from RNAcentral.